GGGCGGUUUUCUACUUUGGUUCGUUUUUUCAAUUCUUCCUGGUCCGGGGUGGCAUAGAGCGGUUGGUGUGGGUGGCGGCUAAUCGCAAUUGUUGUAAGAAUGAAUGAAGAGAAAUACAUAUCUUUAGGUUAACGCUGCUACGAUCAGCGGGGAAUGUCGAGCUGCGGACGCCGACACCUCUGUUGUCGUAUAGUUGUUGCCUUUUAAUGGCUG
RNAcentral lists this long non-coding RNA (213 nucleotides) under Oryza brachyantha (malo sina). RNAcentral describes it as "long non-coding RNA (OBRA_LNC003672)". Lineage: Eukaryota; Viridiplantae; Streptophyta; Magnoliopsida; Poales; Poaceae. The record is from RNAcentral.